This 625-nucleotide long non-coding RNA is filed under the name Salmo salar (Atlantic salmon). Its description in RNAcentral is "lncRNA (ENSSSAG00000117143.1)". Lineage: Eukaryota; Metazoa; Chordata; Actinopteri; Salmoniformes; Salmonidae. The record is from RNAcentral.
GGCGACACCAUGUUUUUAUUUUCUCUCUCUUUGUACUAAAACACAGAUUCCCGGUCGGAAUAUUAUCGCUUUUUUACGAGAAAAAUGGCAUAAAAAUUGAUUUUAAACAGCGGUUGACAUGCUUCGAGGGUACGGUAAUGGAAUAUUUAGAAAUUCUUUGUCACGAAACGCGUCGGGCGCGUAACCCUUAUUUACCCUUUCGGAUAGUGUCUUGAAAGCACGAACAAAACGCCGCUAUUUGGAUAUAACUAUGGAUUAUUUUGAACCAAACCAACAUUUGUUAUUGAAGUAGAAGUCCUGGGAGUGCAUUCUGACGAAGAACAGCAAAGAAGUGCUACUUCCUAGCCGUUGAGUUAGCAGCGGCCGCUGUAGACGGGGGCUAGGAAAGGACGGACGACGGAUCCAGUCUAACAGACGGACGAAGAUACCACCACGUAUCCAAUUUACCACCAGAGACAUUCUUCCGAGGACAGCAAGAUCUCUGUUGGGCAACACGGCCAGCAUCUACGACCAACCUACCGAAGCGCAGCUCAGAUUACUGCCCAGAUAUUCCAGUCUGGACGACCAGACGACGGGUCCGGAACGGCGAUCCCAAUCCGGACAUCCGCUGCCGAGCCAUGGAAAG